AAAUAUAGAUGUUAAGGACAAAAUACCAAGAGAACACCACAAGCAGGCAGCAACCGACUUUCCCCUCCAAACUUUCAAAUCCUCUCGUUUGUCAAUGUUUAGCCUUCAUGAGAAAUCGCCUGGCAACGACUAUGCAUUAUUCUGAUUGCUAGGGAAAAAAAUGACACAAGCGCAUUCAAAAUCCUUAGAAAAGAUUGCCAUCUUUUUUGAUGCUUUGUUGAAAAGCACGCACGAGAAACUAGCAUCACUGGUUGCCUCUAGGCAAGGGGACCAAGGGUCUGGAGAUCCGGACUGGGAGAUGUGUUUUUCCUGUGCACUCUUUUAUAUAUUUUGAAUCUUGUGCUGUGUUCCUGUACUAUCUACUGCCGCAGAACUAAGUUUUGUAAAAACGACAGCUUAAGAGGGCCAGAAAAACGAAGUCUGAUUGGUUGCUGAUUACUGUGAUUUCAUAUGCAAAUUUUAAACAUGUAUUCCCCGCAUGGGCAAAUAUUUUGCGGACUAUUGAAUCCGUGCCUGGUCCUGGACGUAGCAAAGAGAGCUCGGGCACCUCGUGCACAGACGGACGGACACCCUGGGAGCUCCCCAGACUUGGGCAGUUCCCGGUGCUACUGUGUGUUCUGCUUCCUGGACUGUCAAAUGUGGGGCCACCUGGGGAUGGCCUCUCCACUCCCUUUCAACUUGGAUACCCUUUAUGCGUACUCAUUUCACAGAGUGAGAAAGCAUCUCCUGGCCUUUCUAUCGCAGAUUUUUUAUGGGCAUUGCCUAUGAAAUUUCAUCUCAAAGACAGGCUGAGUGCUUGCCUGUAGAGCGGUGCCCAUGGAUCCCCACCAGCAGCUCACACCUGGGAAGUUGGUGGGUUUGCUGAACGGCUAAGACUCACGCCUGCAGCUGGCUGGUGCUUCCCAAUCCAUGUGGGCUGAAUCUGAAUCUGAAUACUAAUUCCACCCUCAGGAGCCAACACAUAUGGAAAAUAUUAAUGCUUCCUUCACAUGGAAAUCUUUUUUUUUUUUCUUUUUGGAAAAAAAAAAGAUUUUUAAAGAAGAUUCUAGUUACGGUGCUGCAAGGAAAAAAAAAUCAUCUUUCCAAAUGCCCAUAGAGUCAUCGUUCUAUCAGAAGUAAAGAGAAAAUGGGGGAUUAUUUGAAGGGAAGAAUAAAAAUCAAGUCGGGCUUUUUCCUUCAACAGCUACAGGUCAUUAGCCCUAAAAAUUGGAACUUUCCAUUUCCUGGAAACAAACCCAACAACAUCGAUGUCAGCUGUGUUCCUGUGUUGUUUAAUCUCUGUAGAGCCUGCUGGACUGAGUUCUCUCUGACCCUUACAGAAGGUUUCAGUACGUGAAUUCGAAAGAGACAGAGUGUGAGCAGGGGAGGAACAGAGAUAGAGGGAGACACAGAAUCCCAAGCAGUUUCCAGACUCUGAGCCAUCAGCACAGAGCCCAAUGCGGGGCCCAAACUCACGAACCAUGAGAUCAUGACCUGAGCCAGAGUCGACGCUUAACCGACUGAGCCACCCAGGCGCCCCUACAUUUUUGACGUGUUACAGCUUCUGGACUGCCGUGAUGAACGACCGCCCAACGGGGGGCUUCGAACGAUGCGAAUCUACUCUCUGGCAGGUCUGCCAUCCAGAAGUGGAAAAUCAGGUGUCAGUCAGGUUCGUGCCUUCUGCGGGCUCUGAGGGAGAAACCAUCCCUGCGUCUCCUCGCUCCUGGUGGCUGCUGGUAGGCGAUCCUUGGUGUUUCCUCGUGUGUCCGUGCGUCCCUCCAAGGUCUGCCUCUUCUCUGUGUCUCUGUGUCCUCUCCUCUUCCUUUUCGGACACCGGUCACUGGAUGUAGGGCCCACCCUAAAUCCAGGAGGAUUGCAU
Molecule: long non-coding RNA, 1858 nt
Organism: Acinonyx jubatus (cheetah)
Lineage: Eukaryota; Metazoa; Chordata; Mammalia; Carnivora; Felidae
Exons: 3
Source: RefSeq, a predicted model, not a curated record